This 495-nucleotide ribosomal RNA is filed under the name uncultured bacterium. RNAcentral describes it as "partial 16S ribosomal RNA". It matches the Rfam family "Bacterial small subunit ribosomal RNA", at positions 29 to 507 of the family's 1533-position model. The record is from RNAcentral.
AUGAACGCUGGCGGCGUGCCUAAUACAUGCAAGUCGAGCGAACGGACGAGAAGCUUGCUUCUCUGAUGUUAGCGGCGGACGGGUGAGUAACACGUGGAUAACCUACCUAUAAGACUGGGAUAACUUCGGGAAACCGGGCUAAUGCCGGAUAAUAUUUUGAACCGCAUGGUUCAAAAGUGAAAGACGGUCUUGCUGUCACUUAUAGGUGGAUCCGGGCUGCAUUUGCUAGUUGGUAAGGUAACGGCUUACCAAGGCAACGAUGCAUAGCCGACCUGAGAGGGUGAUCGGCCACACUGGAACUGAGACACGGUCCAGACUCCUACGGGAGGCAGCAGUAGGGAAUCUUCCGCAAUGGGCGAAAGCCUGACGGAGCAACGCCGCGUGAGUGAUGAAGGUCUUCGGAUCGUAAAACUCUGUUAUUAGGGAAGAACAUAUGUGUAAGUAACUGUGCACAUCUUGACGGUACCUAAUCAGAAAGCCACGGCUAACUACGUG